This 626-nucleotide ribosomal RNA is filed under the name uncultured euryarchaeote. RNAcentral's name for it is "bacterial SSU rRNA". It matches the Rfam family "Archaeal small subunit ribosomal RNA", at positions 59 to 692 of the family's 1478-position model. Lineage: Archaea; Methanobacteriati; Methanobacteriota. The record is from RNAcentral.
UGCGAGGUGAAGACCUCGGCGAACUGCUCCNUAANNNNNAGCCAACCUACCGUUAGGAAGGGGAUANNNUCGAGAAAUUGAAGCUAAUACCCUAUAAGUAUCAACUUCUGGAAUGAGUUGAUGCUCAAAGCUACGGCGCCUAACGAUGGGACUGCAUCCUAUUAGGCUGUUGUCUGUGUAAAGAACAAACAAACCGAUAAUAGGUACGGGCUAUGGAAGUAGGAGCCUGGAGAUGGACUCUGAGACAUGAGUCCAGGUACUAUGGUACGCAGCAGGCGUGAAACCUUUACAAUUCGCUAACGCGAGAUAAGGGAACCUGGAGUGUUCUUGCUUUGCAAGAACUUUUGCCUUCUGAAAACAGGAAGGUGAAUAAGGGCUGGGUAAGACGGGUGCCAGCCACCGCGGUAAUACCCGCAGCCCAAGUGAUAGCCAGGAUUAUUGGGUCUAAAGCGUCCGUAGCCGGUUUAACAAGUCCUUAGUGAAAUCUUCUAGCAAACUAGAAGGCUUGCUAUGGAUACUGUUAAACUUGAGACUGGGAUAGGGUAGGGGUACUCCUAGGGUAGGGGUGAAAUCUUAUAAUCCUAGGAGGACCACCUGUGGCGAAAGCGCCUACCUGGAACAGGUCU